Molecule: ribosomal RNA, 446 nt
Filed under: uncultured bacterium
Lineage: Bacteria
Description: bacterial SSU rRNA
Rfam family: Bacterial small subunit ribosomal RNA
Source: RNAcentral
UCCAGACUCCUACGGGAGGCAGCAGUGGGGGAUAUUGCACAAUGGGGGAAACCCUGAUGCAGCGACGCCGCGUGGGUGAAGAAGUAUUUCGGUAUGUAAAGCCCUAUCAGCAGGGAAGAAAGAAGACGGUACCUGACUAAGAAGCCCCGGCUAACUACGUGCCAGCAGCCGCGGUAAUACGUAGGGGGCGAGCGUUAUCCGGAUUCACUGGGUGUAAAGGGAGCGUAGACGGCCGUGCAAGCCAGGAGUGAAAGCCCGGGGCCCAACCCCGGGACUGCUCUUGGAACUGUGCGGCUGGAGUGCGGGAGGGGCAGGCGGAAUUCCUGGUGUAGCGGUGAAAUGCGUAGAUAUCAGGAGGAACACCGGCGGCGAAGGCGGCCUGCUGGACCGCGACUGACGUUGAGGCUCGAAAGCGUGGGGAGCGAACAGGAUUAGAUACCCGAGUA